This is a long non-coding RNA of Bufo gargarizans (Asiatic toad), 279 nucleotides long. RefSeq lists it as uncharacterized. The transcript has 3 exons. The record is from RefSeq and is a predicted model, not a curated record. NCBI's taxonomy places the organism in Eukaryota, Metazoa, Chordata, Amphibia, Anura, Bufonidae.
GAAAAAGUUCCGUAUUGAACAGUGCCGUUUGUCAAGAGAUAGUCCAGUACUCACAUAUAUGGAGGUGGUAUCCAGUUUGUGGCGUCCCACGUGGAGUGACUGGAGGGACGUGGACUAUGAAUGCACAGCCACUUGACUGCUGGGAUCAGGGAGUCGAAAGCUCUGUUCUGAAGACUUCGCAUCAUUAGACUUGUUUACCCAAAAUUCUGAAGGAUCUUCUCUACUUAAGGAUAUUGAUGUAAUUAUGGAGGAUAUUCAAGCAAAACUCUGGCUGCGUCA